This 520-nucleotide small RNA is filed under the name Pongo abelii (Sumatran orangutan). RNAcentral describes it as "processed transcript". The record is from RNAcentral. Lineage: Eukaryota; Metazoa; Chordata; Mammalia; Primates; Hominidae.
CCGGCCCUGCCCUGUCCUGCCCUGUCCUGCCCUGCCCUGCCCUGCACUGCCCGGUCCCGCACGCGCGGCGCGAUGUGAGGCGCCCGAGCCCGGAGCCUCCGCCUGGCAUCAGCUCCACGCAGCCCGGCGCUGGCACGCGCGAGGCCCCCCUUCUGCAGAGGCCGGGUUGGAGGAGAAGAUGGCGGCCAAGCAGCCCCCGCCUCUGAUGAAGAAGCACAGCCAGACGGACCUCGUGAGCCGCCUGAAGACCCGCAAGAUCCUCGGCGUGGGCGGGGAGGAUGACGACGGGGAGGUGCAUCGCUCCAAGAUCAGCCAGGUCUUGGGCAAUGAAAUCAAGUUUACCAUUCGGGAGCCUUUGGGGCUCAGGGUCUGGCAGUUCCUCUCUGCUGUGCUCUUCUCCGGCAUUGCCAUCAUGGCACUUGCCUUCCCUGACCAGCAUCUCCCUGAUCAUGUGGAACGCUCUCUACACGGCUGAGAAGGUCAUCAUUCGAUGGACCCUGCUCACCGAAGCCUGCUAUUU